AGAGUUUGAUCCUGGCUCAGAGUGAACGCUGGCGGCAGGCCUAACACAUGCAAGUCGAACGGCAGCACAGGAGAGCUUGCUCUCUGGGUGGCGAGUGGCGGACGGGUGAGGAAUACAUCGGAAUCUACCUUGUCGUGGGGGAUAACGUAGGGAAACUUACGCUAAUACCGCAUACGACCUACGGGUGAAAGCAGGGGACCUUCGGGCCUUGCGCGAUUGGAUGAGCCGAUGUCGGAUUAGCUAGUUGGCGGGGUAAAGGCCCACCAAGGCGACGAUCCGUAGCUGGUCUGAGAGGAUGAUCAGCCACACUGGAACUGAGACACGGUCCAGACUCCUACGGGAGGCAGCAGUGGGGAAUAUUGGACAAUGGGCGCAAGCCUGAUCCAGCCAUGCCGCGUGGGUGAAGAAGGCCUUCGGGUUGUAAAGCCCUUUUGUUGGGAAAGAAAAGCAGCCGGCCAAUACCCGGUUGUUCUGACGGUACCCAAAGAAUAAGCACCGGCUAACUUCGUGCCAGCAGCCGCGGUAAUACGAAGGGUGCAAGCGUUACUCGGAAUUACUGGGCGUAAAGCGUGCGUAGGUGGUGGUUUAAGUCCGUUGUGAAAGCCCUGGGCUCAACCUGGGAACUGCAGUGGAUACUGGAUCACUAGAGUGUGGCAGAGGGUAGUGGAAUUCCCGGUGUAGCAGUGAAAUGCGUAGAGAUCGGGAGGAACAUCAGUGGCGAAGGCGACUGCCUGGGCCAACAC
Molecule: ribosomal RNA, 743 nt
Filed under: uncultured Gammaproteobacteria bacterium
Lineage: Bacteria; Pseudomonadati; Pseudomonadota; Gammaproteobacteria
Description: bacterial SSU rRNA
Rfam family: Bacterial small subunit ribosomal RNA
Source: RNAcentral